GCGUCAAUGGUCUAGUGGUUAUGAUUUAUCCUUCCCAAGGUUAAGACCCGGGUUCGAUUCCCGGUUGACGCA
This 72-nucleotide transfer RNA is filed under the name Micromonas commoda. RNAcentral's name for it is "tRNA-Gly (CCC) (tRNA-Gly-CCC-1-1)". It matches the Rfam family "tRNA". Rfam says of the family: Transfer RNA (tRNA) molecules are approximately 80 nucleotides in length. Lineage: Eukaryota; Viridiplantae; Chlorophyta; Mamiellophyceae; Mamiellales; Mamiellaceae. The record is from Rfam by way of RNAcentral.